GGAUCAUUAUUGUAACAAAGACGUGGGAGGUGCCUGAAGGCUGUCGCCGACUUGAAAGGGUCGUGCACGCCCAAAGGUUUCCUCUCGCGUGAAAUCCAUCUCACCCUUUUGUGCACCACCGCGUGGGCUUCCCUCCUCGAGGGGGGCUCGCGUUUUUCACACAAACCCCCAUUGUAAAUGUUUGUAGAAUGUCCUUAUUUUUUGCGUUGACACGCGAUCAAUACAACUUUCAACAACGGAUCUCUUGGCUCUCGCAUCGAUGAAGAACGCAGCGAAAUGCGAUACGUAAUGUGAAUUGCAGAAUUCAGUGAAUCAUCGAAUCUUUGAACGCACCUUGCGCCCCUUGGUAUUCCGAGGGGCACACCCGUUUGAGUGUCGUGAAAAUCUCAACCUCCUCGGUUUCUUUUGGAUGCUGAAGGAGGCUUGGACUUUGGAGGGCUUUGCUGGACUUGAAAGGCCAGCUCCUCUCAAAUGAAUUAGCGAGGUUCCCUUUGCCGAUCCUCGACGUGUGAUAAGAUGCUUCCACGUCUUGGUCUUUUGGCUCUGUCGCCUUUUGGGACCUGCUUCCAAUSGUCUCUUGACGAGACAACGUUCGAGCAUGUCUCGACCA
This 610-nucleotide ribosomal RNA is filed under the name Lactarius lignyotus. Its description in RNAcentral is "eukaryotic LSU rRNA". The stretch from base 225 to 378 matches the Rfam family "5.8S ribosomal RNA". Lineage: Eukaryota; Fungi; Basidiomycota; Agaricomycetes; Russulales; Russulaceae. The record is from RNAcentral.